Long non-coding RNA from Glossina fuscipes, 2197 nucleotides. RefSeq lists it as uncharacterized. The record is from RefSeq and is a predicted model, not a curated record. The transcript has 2 exons. Lineage: Eukaryota; Metazoa; Arthropoda; Insecta; Diptera; Glossinidae.
AGAAAAAAAAAAAAAAAAAACGAAAACAAGUGAGAUUAUCAUAAGCAAGUUUACAUACAGAUCACUUUUUAAACUGUGUCCUCUCCAAAAAAAAGUGUAGACAUCAUAAUUAUAAACCGUGUUUAUUAACGCAGUGCUAAGCAAUGCGUAGGGCUUAAAAUUUAAUUAAUUACUCGGUAACGGACAGUUACCUUUAGAUCCAAGACCAAGUUAUGCCAAUUUUAAGCAUUUGUCGCAGGAAUUUAUUUUUAGUCUUGAACGUGAAACAAUUUUGCGAUUUGUUGAAAUUUUUUACUAGCAAAUUUUCAUAAUUACAGCGAUGAGUUAACGCAAAUUGAUUAUCACACGAUCAUUCAUUAUGGGCAAUGUAUGUAUGAUUGUUCGUAAAAAAAUUUUUAAUCUCGAGAAACUUUUAAAAUGUUUCUUCGUUCGCGAUGAGUGAGCCCCAGUCGAUGAAACGAAUCGUUGUCGUAUACGCCUGCAGACAAGGUCUUCCGAAAAAGUGAGUUUUAUUCCGCGUUAUUUCUUUCCCUCUCAACAAAGGCAUAAAUGCGACCAACAGUAUUGCUUGCGAAAAUCUUCAGCUUCGGGAGGCUUUAUGGCAUCUCGUGACAUCUCGAAGAUCAUAACAUCAUAAUCCAGGGAAAAAACUAACUGUAAGCAAAAGUUCCUUGUUUGAUGGCCGUACAAAUGAUCUGAUGCGAGGAAAUUUUCCCAAAUGAAUUUUUACCUGCAAAUAUGUACAUAAAUGUAACGAGCUUCCAUGAUUGAAGCGACAGAGACUUGAAUCGUUUAAGUACAGUUUGGAGUUCGGAGGAAUGCGAGGAACACCACCCAUAAGUAACUGCUUCAGCCAAACAUUACAAUAGAUCCGCAACUGUAUUGCCGUAAAGCAAGGCAGACUUAGGAGGCAGAGUGCCUCCGUGCUUACAUCGUUAAUGAUCUUUCAGGCAUUGGGAUAACUUAUCCAAAAACUAUUGCUCCUUUCAACGUAAAAAUAGAACUUGACAUCGUCGUCGUACUAUUUUCUUCGAUUUUUCAAAAAUUUCCUGAAAAUUUCCAUCCAAUGAAUAUAAAAAGAAUUUUUUUGAAGCUAUACCAGCUAGAAUUUCUGAAACAGCAACUGUACAAGGAGUUUUGGAGGGGGUCAGGAAAAUCAUCCAAAGUUAUCGAACAAUAACGUGCGCAGUUUUAAUGACAACACAUAUACCUUCAACACAUUUAGUAUUUUUCAGACAAUCUAUUAUGUAAUCAGGUAAAAAUCGCCGUUGCGUUGGAAAUACUUAAACACUAUUUCAUAAAUUGUGGGCGUGUUAUUUGAUGGCAGACAGACCGACAACACUAAUGAGCAUGGAACACGAUCGAACGGAUAGAUGCCUCGACGACAGACCAACGAAAAAGACGAAUCGACCUUACCAGUGAUGUACUUGAAUGAAGAAGUCUUUGACUGCGCGCUUCUAGGUGCUUAAACUGAAAGAACGAAUGCAUGACCUUACAUAAAAUUGAAUGGUAAAUCUUAACAUAAACAGGAGAUUUGAAUGGCUUGUCUUGUGCAAGGUGGAUUUGCCGAGAUGAGAAGAAAACAUUGACUGAAUUGCCCCAAUAUGCAAUGGAUACAUCCUUGACGGCGCUGGACGACGCAAAUGAAAUUGAACUUUACUUCCAGUACACCAUUGACCUUAAAUUAGCUCUAAUUCACACAUGCUCCUCACCAAUAUAAUGCUAGGCUUUUGACAUUUAACACUGUAUAGUCCAACUCCUGCCAAUUAUUAAUACUUUCUGAUUUUCAUCCUUGAAAAGGCGAAAAUAAUUUUUUUUGCUGAAAUUCUAAUAGAUUUUUAUUAUUCAUUUAUUGUUUGAGUUUCUACCUGUUACAAAACAAAUAUCUAUCUAUAUCGAUUGUCCUUCGCAUAUACUUGUUAUGUCUGCCAUACAUACAUAAUAAUAGUAAUUAUUGGUCUACCCAUUCGCUAAUACUCAUAAAUAGAAAAACCGCACAUAAACUCGUGAAAAUAUUUUCAUUGAAAGAAUGUAGAAAGAAAGAAAAAAAGAAAAAACAUUGAAUCGCCGCUUACGAAAAUAAUAAAAUAUCUUUUGUUUUUAUGACCGCAUAGCGCGCGUGCAUAAACUAAUGCAAUAUUGCAUCUCAAAACGGCCACAAUGAUUACUGUAAUUUUAGCAGAGCAGGCAGAGCAGG